Molecule: ribosomal RNA, 332 nt
Filed under: uncultured eukaryote
Lineage: Eukaryota
Description: LSU rRNA
Rfam family: Bacterial large subunit ribosomal RNA
Source: RNAcentral
GCAUUGAGUUUAUUCUUGCGGGAAUUUAGGAGCCAUCAGUGAGAUACCACUCUGGUAAUGUUAGAUUUCUAACUUUGUAUCAUGAUCUGGUCAAAGAACAGUUUCAGGCGGGCAGUUUGACUGGGGCGGUCGCCUCCCAAAUGGUAACGGAGGCGUACAAAGGUUUCCUCUGAACGUGUAGAAAUCAUAUCUAGAGUGUAAAGGCAUAAGGAAGCUUGACUGUGAGACCUACAAGUCGAGCAGGGACGAAAGUCGGUCUUAGUGAUCUGACGGUGCUGAGUGGAAAGGCCGUCACUCAACGGAUAAAAGUUACUCUAGGGAUAACAGGCUGA